RNAcentral lists this ribosomal RNA (468 nucleotides) under uncultured bacterium. RNAcentral's name for it is "partial 16S ribosomal RNA". It matches the Rfam family "Bacterial small subunit ribosomal RNA", at positions 28 to 507 of the family's 1533-position model. The record is from RNAcentral.
GACGAACGCUGGCGGCGUGCUUAACACAUGCAAGUCGAACGGAAAGGCCCUGCUUUUGUGGGGUGCCCGAGUGGCGAACGGGUGAGUAACACGUGAGUAACCUGCCCUUGACGUUGGGAUAACUUCAGGAAACUGGGGCUAAUACCGGCUAGGAGCUCCUGCUGCAUGGUGGGGGUUGGACAGUUUCGGCGGUUGGGGAUCGACUCGCGGCUUAUCAGCUUGUUGGUGGGGUAGUGGCUUACCAAGGCUUUGGCGGGUAGCCGGCCUGAGAGGGUGACCGGCGACAUUGGGACUAAGAGACGGACCAGACUGCUACAGGAGGCAGUGGUGGGGAGUAUUGCACAAUGGGCGGGAGCGUGAUGAAGAGGCGCCCCGAGCGGGAUGCAGGUUUUCGGGUUGUAAACCGCUGUAGGUUGUGACGAAGCGGGAGUGACGGUACUGGGUAAAGAAGCACCGGCUAACUACGUG